UACGUAGGUGGCAAGCGUUAUCCGGAAUUACUGGGCGUAAAGCGCACGCAGGCGGUCUCUUAAGUUUGACGUGAAAGCUCCCGGCUUAACUGGGAGAGGUCGUUGAAUACUGGGAGACUUGAGGCAAUGAGAGGGGUGUAGAAUUCCCGGUGUAGUGGUGGAAUGCGUAGAUAUCGGGGGGAAUACCAGUGGCGAAAGCGGCACCCUAGCGUUGUUCUGACGCUCAUGUGCGAAAGCGUGGGGAGCGAACGGG
RNAcentral lists this ribosomal RNA (253 nucleotides) under uncultured bacterium. RNAcentral describes it as "partial 16S ribosomal RNA". It matches the Rfam family "Bacterial small subunit ribosomal RNA", at positions 524 to 776 of the family's 1533-position model. The record is from RNAcentral.